RNAcentral lists this ribosomal RNA (554 nucleotides) under Equus caballus (horse). RNAcentral describes it as "partial large subunit ribosomal RNA". It matches the Rfam family "Bacterial large subunit ribosomal RNA", at positions 1816 to 2597 of the family's 2925-position model. Lineage: Eukaryota; Metazoa; Chordata; Mammalia; Perissodactyla; Equidae. The record is from RNAcentral.
CACCUCUAGCAUUUCCAGUAUUAGAGGCACUGCCUGCCCAGUGACAUCUGUUUAAACGGCCGCGGUAUCCUAACCGUGCAAAGGUAGCAUAAUCACUUGUUCCCUAAAUAGGGACUUGUAUGAAUGGCCACACGAGGGUUUUACUGUCUCUUACUUCCAAUCAGUGAAAUUGACCUUCCCGUGAAGAGGCGGGAAUGACCAAAUAAGACGAGAAGACCCUAUGGAGCUUUAAUUAACUGAUUCACAAAAAACAACACACAAACCUAACCCUCAGGGACAACAAAACUUUUGAUUGAAUCAGCAAUUUCGGUUGGGGUGACCUCGGAGAACAAAACAACCUCCGAGUGAUUUAAAUCCAGACUAACCAGUCAAAAUAUAUAAUCACUUAUUGAUCCAAACCAUUGAUCAACGGAACAAGUUACCCUAGGGAUAACAGCGCAAUCCUAUUCCAGAGUCCAUAUCGACAAUUAGGGUUUACGACCUCGAUGUUGGAUCAAGACAUCCUAAUGGUGCAACCGCUAUUAAGGGUUCGUUUGUUCAACGAUUAAAGUCUU